GACGAACGCUGGCGGCGUGCCUAAUACAUGCAAGUAGAACGCUGAAGAGAGGAGCUUGCUCUUCUUGGAUGAGUUGCGAACGGGUGAGUAACGCGUAGGUAACCUGCCUUGUAGCGGGGGAUAACUAUUGGAAACGAUAGCUAAUACCGCAUAACAAUGGAUGACCCAUGUCAUUUAUUUGAAAGGGGCAAAUGCUCCACUACAAGAUGGACCUGCGUUGUAUUAGCUAGUAGGUGAGGUAACGGCUCACCUAGGCGACGUUACAUAGCCGACCUGAGAGGGUGAUCGGCCACACUGGGACUGAGACACGGCCCAGACUCCUACGGGAGGCAGCAGUAGGGAAUCUUCGGCAAUGGGGGCAACCCUGACCGAGCAACGCCGCGUGAGUGAAGAAGGUUUUCGGAUCGUAAAGCUCUGUUGUAAGUCAAGAACGAGUGUGAGAGUGGAAAGUUCACACUGUGACGGUAGCUUACCAGAAAGGGACGGCUAACUACGUG
Molecule: ribosomal RNA, 497 nt
Filed under: uncultured bacterium
Lineage: Bacteria
Description: partial 16S ribosomal RNA
Rfam family: Bacterial small subunit ribosomal RNA
Source: RNAcentral